GUGAAUUAUCUGCUGUAUUAGAGCUUGAAGGAGGGGACUGGUUUUUGCCUUUGUAUCCUCACCACUUAGCUGAGCCUGUCACAUCAUAAAAAAUGCCUGUUAACUUGCCUUGCCUUGCCUUGGGGAGAUUUGACACUUCCAAGGUGAAGGAAGGGAAGACCUUUGGAGAAUCCUUUGGGAUUUCACUCCCAUCUGGGUCCUCCAAUCUCAUACAUGGUCUUGCAGAUACCUAGAGCCAUCUUCCUACAGCAUGUACUAGUGUUGUCCUCACUGUGUAUCUUGCUUCUGGUUAACAUGGGACAUCAGGACAUCUUCUUGGCAUAUGGUUUGUGCAGUUUUAGACACAGCUUACAACCUCUCUGUGCCUCUGUAUCUCACCCACAAAAUGGGGUCAUGAACAUUUGCCAACUGCCUCAUCACAAUAUGUUAAGGAAAUGCUUCAAGGUCUAUAGAAAAUAACUCCAUAGUUUGGAUUACAAACUAGACAUUCUCCAUGGAGGUGGCAAAUGCCUUUGGUGGGUAUAUUUCUUAUCUUAUGUUUCACUUGACAUGAAUAAUGAAAUGAUCCCAGAACAACAUUCUCUCUCUUGUUGCAUCUCUCAAGGAAUCUGGUAUGACUAAUACACAAGAGAAAUCCCUCAGAGGAUCCUGUUGGGAAGUGGCAUCAUUCUGAUUGCAUCAAGCCCAGAAAGCUGACCAAGGUUCCUAACUGAGAUCCAUCAUCACUCAACAGUUUGGUAUAUACCCACACAAGAAUGAAGUCAAGUAGAUGAAGAAUAAGAAUGGUUAUGGUCCAGAUCACAAUGAUGCAGCUGGAAAGACAAACCAGAGAACAGGAAUGAGAAAAGGUGGUGGAUUGCAUUUGGAAAAUUGGACAGGUCUCUACUGAUGUUCUAUUCCAAACAAGACUCACCAUUUUAAAAACAUCAUCCCAUAGUUUUCAAAGAAUUAAUUUGUGGAUCACCUAAAGGAGAAGAAAAGCUGAUCCACACACUGCAACACAUUACAAAUAAUGGAUUGUGCCCAAUUUAAUAUAACUGGGAUUGAAAAGUGGGACACAAGGAUAAAGUGAAGGCUGGGGAAUGCUGGGGGAAAUUGGAUAAAGACCUAUGGGAAUCUUCUGCAGGUUGUCAUUCUUUAUGCUUCCCUUCCCAUUUUUCUGAUAUCAAAUCUGUAUGCCAAGUAAAGCAAGUAUUAUAUAAUUUUCCAAAUGAGGGAAAUUGAGAGGUUAAAUUAUUUUACCCAUGGUCACAUUGCCAGGAUGGGCUUGAAACCCAAGGCCUCCUCUUCUGGUCUCUCCUAUGUAUUCCUCUGUCUCUUGGAGGGAGAUGAGAGAUAGGAAAAAGUCUGCAAGUUGGUUGAGAGAGUGUUUGUGUUCCAGCCUGCUGUGUUCACUUCUGCUCUGGGUGUCAGAAUAAGUUAUCACCAAGUUUUGAAAUUAUGAUGAGCUCUCUGCCAAUUCAAAAUAACAUUUCUUGCACUAGUAGGCGGCCUUUUUUAUUUUAAUUUCAAAUGUUACUUUCGAAAUAAAGGCUUAUUUUCCCAAGGAAUUCCGAAGGUC
Long non-coding RNA from Monodelphis domestica (gray short-tailed opossum), 1561 nucleotides. NCBI's taxonomy places the organism in Eukaryota, Metazoa, Chordata, Mammalia, Didelphimorphia, Didelphidae. The record is from Ensembl.